Long non-coding RNA from Jatropha curcas, 925 nucleotides. RefSeq lists it as uncharacterized. Lineage: Eukaryota; Viridiplantae; Streptophyta; Magnoliopsida; Malpighiales; Euphorbiaceae. The record is from RefSeq and is a predicted model, not a curated record.
CGAGUCUAGUAUUGUAAUUUCAAUAUCCCCAAUGCUUUAGGGUUCUAGAGAAACUAGUAUAUAAGCAGGUGCUUAACUGGUCGCAACUUGGUACUUUCCAUGCCUCCAAGCGGAACUCUGUCACGCACUGUUCCUCAGUUUCUCUGUCUCGCUACUUUUUAUUUUCCUCUGCAAGCAAAGAAUCUCUAACAAGUUCGAAGAAAUUGAAAAUCUUUCCAUUUUUGGAGAGCUUAGAUAAUGUAAUGUGCAGCUUUUUUUUUCUCUAGUUAAAAGAAAUCUCUGAGCUAACAAUGUCGGUUGUUUUAAUGGCUCUUUACCUGAGUCAGCAGCGGGCGCUGAUUAAUGGCGAUCUGUCUGCCGCAUAGAGCCAAAAUUAAAUGUUUUUUGGCCGGAAGAAGAUCCUUGAAACUCACCGUUGUUUCAGGUCACAAUAUUCCGGCUAUAUUUCGGUCUUUUUUUUUUUUAUCAAUAUGAGCUUCUCGUUUAGAUAUAAGCUUAUAGCCAUUUUUGUGUAAUAAAGAUGAAGAUGGCACUCAGUCAGACACGGGUGUUUGAGAUAAUUUAAUACCAAUUCACCUUUUGCAUGGUGCCUAAAUAGAGCUGCUUUUCACGAUUGGAAGUAUGGUGCAAGCCAGAUGGUAGCUUUUGAAGCUGAAGAAUCUGUAGCAGGACCCGGAGUCGAUUGAAUUGUAGCGGGGAAGGGAAUUUCUGAAAAAAAAAACCCUUGUUUUUAUUUUUUAAUCCAACUAUGAGUUUACGAGAAUAUUUUUGUUAGCUUUAAAUUGAUUGUGAGUAGAUAAUUCUUAGUGGCUCUGAUUUGAAACUUUCAUGUAUGCAGAAAUUGAUUAAUGAAGUGUCAAAAAUUUGGAUCUAAUUUGUAACUUUUGGUCCUUAAUUCAGUCUAAUUGCUAAUAUUUUGGAACUA